Molecule: long non-coding RNA, 2246 nt
Filed under: Selaginella moellendorffii
Lineage: Eukaryota; Viridiplantae; Streptophyta; Lycopodiopsida; Selaginellales; Selaginellaceae
Description: long non-coding RNA (SMOE_LNC002439)
Source: RNAcentral
GUUCUUCUACUGGGACAGCAAGCUCGACCUCGCGUUCGGAAACUUCAUGCUGCACCUCGACUUUGGUUUGCUCCUCUUCCACGUUGUCGUGAAUGUCCUCACUGGCAGGAGGUGCUCGCUGUGUGUCGUCCACUGUGGCAUCUGUCGCAUGCAUGGAAUCCGGUGCACCACUCUCGAUCUCUGGCACCGCCAACUUUUCUCCCUCCUGCAGGAUCGCGACUGAAGCACUCUCCCUGGGCUCGACAUUCUCCACCUGGUCAUCCACAGCCACCUUGGCCGGCUCUAUGCUCUCUUCCUCCUUGAUUUCCUCGUGUGCGGGUAAGACGUCAUCCACUUUCGCAGUUGGUACUUGAGCUACAACUGGCUCGGCUGGUUGCACCUCUUUGGCAUCCUCUUCAGAAGCCUCAGGCACGGCCUCUGUCUCGGGAACGGCCUCAAGCACAGGCUGUGGCUCCUGGACUUCUUCGUUCCCUGACGGUGGGAGUUCUUCUACUGGGACAGCAAGCUCGACCUCGCGUUCGGAAACUUCAUGCUGCACCUCGACUUUGCUUUGCUCCUCUUCCACGUUCUCGUGAAUGUCCUCACUGGCAGGAGGUGCUCGCUGUGUGUCGUCCACUGUGGCAUCUGUCACAUGGAUGGAAUCCGGUGCACCACUCUCGAUCUCUGGCACCGCCAACUUUUCUCCCUCCUGCAGGAUCGCGACUGAAGCACUCUCCCUGGGCUCGACAUUCUCCACCUGGUCAUCCACAGCCACCUUGGCCGGCUCUAUGCUCUCUUCCUCCUUGAUUUCCUCGUGUGCGGGUAAGACGUCAUCCACUUUCGCAGUUGGUACUUGAGCUACAACUGGCUCGGCUGGUUGCACCUCUUUGGCAGCCUCUUCAGAAGCCUCAGGCACGGCCUCUGUCUCGGGAACGGCCUCAAGCACAGGCUGUGGCUGCUGGACUUCUUCGUUCCCUGACGGUGGGAGUUGUUCUACUGGGACAGCAAGCUCGACCUCGCGUUCGGAAACUUCAUGCUGCACCUCGACUUUGCUUUGCUCCUCUUCCACGUUGUCGUGAAUAUCCUCACUGGCAGGAGGUGCUCGCUGUGUGUCGUCCACUGUGGCAUCUGUCGCAUGCAUGGAAUCUGGAGCACCACUCUCGAUCUCUGGCACCGCCAACUUUUCUCCCUCCUGCAGGAUCGCGACUGAAGCACUCUCCCUGGGCUCGACAUUCUCCACCUGGUCAUCCACAGCCACCUUGGCCGGCUCUAUGCUCUCUUCCUCCUUGAUUUCCUCGUGUGCGGGUAAGACGUCAUCCACUUUCGCAGUUGGUACUUGAGCUACAACUGGCUCGGCUGGUUGCACCUCUUUGGCAUCCUCUUCAGAAGCCUCAGGCACGGCCUCUGUCUCGGGAACGGCCUCAAGCACAGGCUGUGGCUCCUGGACUUCUUCGUUCCCUGACGGUGGGAGUUCUUCUACUGGGACAGCAAGCUCGACCUCGCGUUCGGAAACUUCAUGCUGCACCUCGACUUUGCUUUGCUCCUCUUCCACGUUCUCGUGAAUGUCCUCACUGGCAGGAGGUGCUCGCUGUGUGUCGUCCACUGUGGCAUCUGUCGCAUGCAUGGAAUCCGGUGCACCACUCUCGAUCUCUGGCACUGCCAACUUUUCUCCCUCCUGCAGGAUCGCGACUGAAGCACUCUCCCUGGGCUCGACAUUCUCCACCUGGUCAUCCACAGCCACCUUGGCCGGCUCUAUGCUCUCUUCCUCCUUGAUUUCCUCGUGUGCGGGUAAGACGUCAUCCACUUUCGCGGUUGGUACUUGAGCUACAACUGGCUCGGCCGGUUGCACCUCUUUGGCAGCCUCUUCAGAAGCCUCAGGCACGGCCUCUGUCUCGGGAACGGCCUCAAGCACAGGCUGUGGCUGCUGGACUUCUUCGUUCCCUGACUGUGGGAGUUCUUCUACUGGGACGGCAAGCUCGACCUUGCGUUCGGAAACUUCAUGCUGCACCUCGACUUUGGUUUGCUCCUCUUCCACGUUGUCGUGAAUGUCCUCACUGGCAGGAGAUGCUCGCUGUGUGUCGUCCACUGUGGCAUCUGUCACAUGGAUGGAAUCUGGAGCAGCACUCUCGAUCUCUGGCACCGCCAACUUUUCUCCCUCCUGCAGGAUCGCGACUGAAGCACUCUCCCUGGGCUUGAAAUUCUCCACCUGGUCAUCCACAGCCACCUUGGCCUGCUCUAUGCUCUCUUCCUCCUUGAUUUCCUCGUGU